GAUGAACGCUGGCGGCGUGCCUAAUACAUGCAAGUCGGGCGAACGGACGAGAAGCUUGCUUCUCUGAUGUUAGCGGCGGACGGGUGAGUAACACGUGGAUAACCUACCUAUAAGACUGGGAUAACUUCGGGAAACCGGAGCUAAUACCGGAUAAUAUUUUGAACCGCAUGGUUCAAAAGUGAAAGACGGUCUUGCUGUCACUUAUAGAUGGAUCCGCGCUGCAUUAGCUAGUUGGUAAGGUAACGGCUUACCAAGGCAACGAUGCAUAGCCGACCUGAGAGGGUGAUCGGCCACACUGGAACUGAGACACGGUCCAGACUCCUACGGGAGGCAGCAGUUGGGAAUCUUCCGCAAUGGGCGAAAGCCUGACGGAGCAACGCCGCGUGAGUGAUGAAGGUCUUCGGAUCGUAAAACUCUGUUAUUAGGGAAGAACAUAUGUGUAAGUAACUGUGCACAUCUUGACGGUACCUAAUCAGAAAGCCACGGCUAACUACGUG
This 497-nucleotide ribosomal RNA is filed under the name uncultured bacterium. RNAcentral's name for it is "partial 16S ribosomal RNA". It matches the Rfam family "Bacterial small subunit ribosomal RNA", at positions 28 to 507 of the family's 1533-position model. The record is from RNAcentral.